Long non-coding RNA from Rhododendron vialii, 457 nucleotides. RefSeq lists it as uncharacterized. The record is from RefSeq and is a predicted model, not a curated record. NCBI's taxonomy places the organism in Eukaryota, Viridiplantae, Streptophyta, Magnoliopsida, Ericales, Ericaceae. The transcript has 2 exons.
AUUCCUUGCUUUGUUGUUGUGUAUGGAGUUUGGUUCUCCAGUUAGGUUUACUUAUUAUGUUGCUUUUACUUGUUUUGAUUAUAAUCAGAGGAGGUUUGUUGGGCUUGUAAAGCCUGAUUCGGUUUGGGUUGCCCAUUCGCGGACUAUUUGUAGCCGCCAAUGUUUUUUUUUUUUUUUGAUAAGAUUUCCAGGGAGUCAAUCCCUUUACAGAAACAACUUACUACAGAAACGAAGCAAAAACAACCACUUAUCAAACUAGAACUCCUAACUAUACAACCUCCAUGACUCUGUUAGACAGUCCCCAAAUCGCACAAAUAUUCUUAUUUUGACUGGAUAGUUUCAUAUGUCUCCUUGAGCUGAGAAAAUCCCGAAUUGUAGCUUCAAUCCCAUUAGCCACUUGGGUAUACCCUUUUGCCAUUGCUCAGAAGAUUCUGGAAUUCCGUUCCUGCCACAACCC